CAUAAAAUAAUCAUUCUCUUCAAUACAGCAAUUCAUUUUGAAAUUGUUUAGCAUUAUUGUUAAUUUGGCAAAUAUUGUGUUCUUUAUAAAAUAGAAUGAUUUAAUGCUUGUUUGUUUAGAAAUACAUAAAUGAGGAACUUAAAAAUAAACUCAUAAUAAGAUUAUUUUACCAACUUGUACAACCCUAGUUUUUUUAAAUUAUUAUUAUUAAUUUGAGUAAUGACAGACCGAAAACAUUUUUGAUUUGACAGUACUGGUGGAGUGACGUAUUUUGAUCAACUUAACAGAUUUAAUCGAAAAACCUGAUUGGACUAGAGGUAUUUCAUUGUUCUGAUAAAGAAUGCAACUUUUAACAAUAUGUAUCACUCCGCCUCAUCAAGACGUUUGAAAUAUUGUAAGUUAAUGUAAAAGCAGACGACGUUUGUCCUGAUUAAUUUACUUCUAUAAUACCAAAACAGAACCUUGUUGAACUUGCUUUAUGUUUAAAUACACUAAUAACGCUCAAACUGAUCUGCGGUAACAAUAGUUACAAAAACAAAAGAGUGAACGUGAGAGUUAAUUUCGGGGUUGCCUAGAAACAGGUGGGUGUCAGUUACACUGUGGAACUACUUGAAUCGGCGAAGUGACAACGUAUAAAAUCCUAUAAUUGGUUUCGUCUUCUGUCACAAUAUGGCGGUUAAACUUUUAAACAAAAAGCAGGGCGAGAUGGUCAGGGUACCAUUGGACAGUUCGUUUUCCUGUGAUUACAUGCUGAAAAUCACUUCCUACUACUUAUUCCGUUGCAAAUCCCAGAGAGGCACGCGCACAGGAAUGAACCGUUGGACAGUUCCCUGUCAUUUGUUUGACCUCGCGCUCGUCACUAAUCAGUCAUGAAACACGAUAAGAAAGUGCUUUGUUUUAGAAGGAAUUAAUGACAUUUGUUUUCAGGGUUAAUCUCCCGUGGUAAUGGAGAAAAGUUUGUUGGCAGACCUCAGUGUUUCCCUCUGUUUGCCUGGUUCGAACUAUACUUCCUGUCCAGUGACGUUACUUACUUCAAGGAGAGGGAUUCUUGCCGUCUUCUCUGUUUUCAGGUGGACCUCAGCUGCUGCGUGGGACUUGGGCUCACCCCCCCACAGGACUGGUUUACCCACAAGCCCAUGAAAACUUGAGGGGCAGUAUGGCCCGUAAGGCGGCUCCAGUUCAGGUCAUCCUCUGCAGCCACAAAGAGAAAGCGUCCCUUAGCUUUUUCGAUUGGGACCAGGGUGGCCUUGUUCUGCUCUAGGAGGGGAUCAAGAGUAGCAUACUUGGUGUUACAAGCUCCUGACUCCAG
Cheilinus undulatus (humphead wrasse) is the source of this 1309-nucleotide long non-coding RNA. RefSeq lists it as uncharacterized. The transcript has 3 exons. The record is from RefSeq and is a predicted model, not a curated record. NCBI's taxonomy places the organism in Eukaryota, Metazoa, Chordata, Actinopteri, Labriformes, Labridae.